Non-coding RNA from Odocoileus virginianus texanus, 187 nucleotides. NCBI's taxonomy places the organism in Eukaryota, Metazoa, Chordata, Mammalia, Artiodactyla, Cervidae. The record is from RefSeq and is a predicted model, not a curated record.
CUGACCCUUGACCCUUCGCUCCCCUCCCCACACUCCCUGAGGAAAUUCUAACGGGUUUCCACUAUCCUGGAAAGUGUUCCCAGGUUGAUGCCUGAGCUGGCCCUGGUUAAACUGCCAACUGUCUCCAGAAUGACUACUUCAGGGCAAGAACAGUGAGUUCUGGAGGUUUCCAUUGAGAUCAAACCAG